UUUCCGUAGGUGAACCUGCGGAAGGAUCAUUAUUGUAUAACCGAGGUGCGAGGGCUGUCGCUGACCCGAAAGGUCGUGCACGCCCGAGUGCCCUCACACACAUCCAUCUCACCCCUAUGGGCAACACCGCGUGGGCCCCCCUUUGGCGUGGUCGGAGGGGGGCUUACGUUUUCACACAAACUUUGUAUGCAGUGUAGAAUGUAUUUUUUGUUUUUGCGAUCACGCAAUCAAUACAACUUUCAACAACGGAUCUCUUGGCUCUC
RNAcentral lists this unclassified non-coding RNA (263 nucleotides) under plant metagenome. RNAcentral's name for it is "partial contains small subunit ribosomal RNA, internal transcribed spacer 1, and 5.8S ribosomal RNA". The record is from RNAcentral.